This 115-nucleotide ribosomal RNA is filed under the name Pectobacterium wasabiae. RNAcentral also lists the same sequence under 3 other names. Lineage: Bacteria; Pseudomonadati; Pseudomonadota; Gammaproteobacteria; Enterobacterales; Pectobacteriaceae. The record is from RNAcentral.
UGGCGGCGAUAGCGCGGUGGUCCCACCUGACCCCAUGCCGAACUCAGAAGUGAAACGCCGUAGCGCCGAUGGUAGUGUGGGGUUUCCCCAUGUGAGAGUAGGGAACUGCCAGGCA